GCAAAUAUUCAAAUUUCUAUAACAAACCUUAAAGAAAAUUCUCACCUUACAAAGUAUUUUAUGAAAAAUCACCUAAUUAAUCAACCGCAAGGGCUAACACUCAGCUUUUUCAAGAAAUGAUAAUUCCAUGUCCCUCUUGCAUCAUGGAGAAGCAACAAAAUCAUAGCAACCUACACUCCCGAAUGACCAUGAGCUACUAACCCUUAAAAAUCAGUGUUUCAUAAUUGAUAAAGUAACUUUUAGUAGAAGUAACAAGCCUUUCAUAUAGUCAAAUAGCUGGUUUUUCUUCAAAAGCAUCAAAGUGCUAGCUUAUAAUAUAACCCACUUCUUUAGGUUAUAAAGCUUAGCCUAUUGAGGAUAAGCUCAAUAGGGUCUCAAAAAUUUUUUAUUACUCAACCUCGUUAGUAGGCUCAAAAGCAGCCAUCUAAUAACGUUUUAGUUACUGAAAUCACCCAUUUAAUAUUUAUACAUCCUAUUUUAAAAUCAAAGAAAUUUAACAAAAAAUUUUACUGUUACUAAACAGGCAUUCUAUUAGUAUUAACAAAACCUAUUACCCAAUAAUCACUAAAAGAAUUUGGACCGAAAUAUAUUUUUAUAUAAACUAUACAAAGCGAACUCGGCAAAUCAGUUCCCUGCCUGUUUACCAAAAACAUCGUCUUUUGAUAAUCUCCCAUAAAAGAUAAUGCC
This 687-nucleotide ribosomal RNA is filed under the name Anodonta cygnea. RNAcentral describes it as "partial 16S ribosomal RNA". Lineage: Eukaryota; Metazoa; Mollusca; Bivalvia; Unionida; Unionidae. The record is from RNAcentral.